CAACCCCUUGCCGUUAGUUACAUGUGUCUAACGGGACUGCCCGGCUCAACGUGGGAGGAAGGUGGGACGACGUCAAGUCAGCAUGGCCUUUAUAUCCUGGGCUACACACACGCUACAAUGGUCGGUACAAUGGGUCGCCAAGCCGCGAGGCGGAGCCAAAUCCGAAAAAGCCGGUACUCAGUUCGGAUUGCAGGCUGCAAUUCGCCUGCAUGAAGUCGGAAUCGCUAGUAAUCGCAGGUCAGCAUACUGCGGUGAAUACGUUCCGGCCUU
RNAcentral lists this ribosomal RNA (270 nucleotides) under uncultured Anaerolineaceae bacterium. Its description in RNAcentral is "partial 16S ribosomal RNA". It matches the Rfam family "Bacterial small subunit ribosomal RNA", at positions 1098 to 1374 of the family's 1533-position model. The record is from RNAcentral. Lineage: Bacteria; Bacillati; Chloroflexota; Anaerolineae; Anaerolineales; Anaerolineaceae.